RNAcentral lists this long non-coding RNA (4157 nucleotides) under Zalophus californianus (California sea lion). RNAcentral describes it as "lncRNA (ENSZCAG00015009259.1)". Lineage: Eukaryota; Metazoa; Chordata; Mammalia; Carnivora; Otariidae. The record is from RNAcentral.
UGGAAUGGAAGCCAAGAAUCCUGCUGUGGUGGAAGGGGGAUAGAUUCAUGAAUUCUCCACAAUAAGAUAUUUUACUUCUUUUUAACAGCCCCAUCAGCAGAGAGAAAUAAUGACUCCCGAAACAUUUCAGAAUCAAAAAGUUAAAACGAUGUUUCAGUGAUGCUACAUCAUGCCAGACACGGGCUAAUGGUUUGAAGAUAAUGGCCUAGCAAGAUGGCAACGAGCUUAAAAAAUAGGAUUCCUAAGAAGUUACUUUUUUCAGUUGUGUUGAUGUUCCUUUCAGCUGGUCCUAUAGCCCCCCUCCUCAGGAAGGUCUCCCCAGUGAAAAGACAUAAACGGCACUGGACACAGCUGCACUGGGGGACGCUCAAGCCAACUAUGAAGUUGAAACAAAGGAAGUGAUCACCUGAAGACACCUCUCCUGCUAAGCAGCACCCCCAAAUGGUGCAGUUUCAGGAAAUAGAACUCCCAGAACACGAGGCAAUCUUUUCAAGAAACAGAAAAAACUUCACAGUGACAUCUAGAUUUCUAAAGAGCCAAAGACUUUCCCUUCCUCGUGUGUAUUCCUCUGUUUGUAUUUUAAUUCAGUGUGACAUUCAUUUCUAAAAUAUUUCCCUGGUAUGGAUAUGCUUAUUAAUGCACCAAUUUUUAAAACAGAAAAUCACACAAAUGUGUUCAUGUUUUAAGGAACAAAAUUAAUGGUAUAAGUAGUUUGAUUUUUAGCCGCACAUGGUUUGAUCUGAAGAGUGACCUAAAGGAAUAUAAAGUACUUUUGAAAUAACAAGGUAGUCAGAGGCAAUCCAAACGCUAAAAUAACAGUGGAAACUCAUAAGGCAGCCAAGAAAUACCACAGGAUCCCACCUGACACCGAACAAUGAACUAUUCUUUUAAUCAAGCAAGAUAGGUUCCAUAAGACAUGGUCACUGCCUCUAAAGAGUGUAAAUAUAGUUCUACAGAGAUACAUAAACUUUUGAAAAGAUAGCAACAAAUCAGGUCUAUAGAUGUUAAGACCACAACAAAACAGAAGAUAUAAACAAAGAGCUCAGAGGAGGUCACCAUUAUCUGGGCAAAACUAGUCUGUUUAGGGAAGAAAGCUUCCAAAGGAGGAAAAUACAAGAUGAAUCUUAAAGAAUGUUAAAGAUUUAGGGGCACGUGGCUGACUCAGUUGGUAGAGCAUGAGACUCUUAAUCUCAGGGUUGUAAGUUUAAGUCCCACAUUGGGCAUGGAGCUUACUUAAAAAAAAAAAAAAGAAGAAGAUAGCAGGAGGGAAAGAAUGAAGGGGGGUGGAAAGAAUAUUAAAGAUUUAGAUAAAAGGAAAGGAAAGAGAAAAUAGAGUCCUUUAAAUGAAUGUGAUAUUGUGAGCAAAACCAUGGAGGAAGGAAUCUAUGUCGUGAAUUUAGGGAAUUGUGAAUAUACAUGUCUAGCUGACAUUCAGGACCAGUGUAUAUAUACAUAUAUGGUAAGGACUUCACACACACACGCUUCCCUUCUCUUGGAUGUCACCUGGAUGUCACCUAGAAUUAUCAUCGUAUUUCUUUGCCAUUAAAGCAAGUGACAGUGAUUGGUGGUACUAUGAGAACUUACGAUUUUUUUCUGUUACUUAAUAAUAAUUGGUAUUUAUUGAGUUCUUAUGGUAUGUUAAGCAUUUUACAUAUGAACUCACUUAAGCCUGCAACUCAGAACAACCCGCAAAAUGGUAUUAUUAUCCCUGUUUUAAAGAUAAGGUUUAAUGAGGUCAAGUAAUUUGCCAAACUGCCAUAUACAGGGUUCACAUUCAGAACUGUGAUUACAAGGCUCAUGAUCUAAAGCACUGAGUCACAAUAUUGUGAUCAAUGUAGCAGUAUUACCACUUGAAUAUUCCUUGGUAGUUUUUUACGGUAAACAAAUAGCUAUGUCAUUCAGUCAUCCCCUCAAUUUUUUCAGUUUCCUGCUCAAAUCACGUUAGAAUGAUGGAAAGAAUUUUCAUGAUAGAAAAUUGAAAGAAUUGGGAAAUAGAGCUUAUCAGCAUUUUAGGCUUUUGUUUUGGUUUUUAUUGUUUUUUGCCAGACGUUGAGGAAAUUGUUCACUGUGUUCUGCAUGAAAUCUCAAAUUUUUGAGAAUUAAAAAGAGAGGGGGGCACUUAAAGGUCAUCUGUCGUAAUGUGCUUUUCUACAGAUGACAAAUCAAAGUUAGAGCAACUUACAAAAGAUCACACAUUUGCGUUUGGCAGAGCUAGGUCCAGACACUAGGCUGCCCAGUCUCCUCUCAGAGGCUCUUAAACUACUCCACCCUGCCUAAAUGAAGGAUGAACUUGAAUUUGAUCAAGGGAAGAAUUCUCUCUGGGUGAUCAGGGAGCACCGCACCUAAUAGAUUAUUUCAAUUUUGCUCCUCUUCGGCUUCCCACCUCAACGUGGAAAAAUAGCCAGUUAUGAAAUAACAUCUUUUGACGCAGAAAUUGUCAAUGCUCCAUCCCCAGAGAACACAUAAUGGCUCAAGUUAUGUGUAUAAUGUCUUCAAUGAUAUCCUUAUUUGGAGUUCUUAGCUCACCUAAAUAAACCAGAUCUUCUAAUGAGCAUUUUCUUACCCAAUUUUAUGCACAGUAUGUAUUUGUAAGUGCUUCUGCAUGAAUAUUUAUAAAUGACUGUUUCAAUAGUCCUUAUGUUUUUGAAAAUAUCAAUGGUUAUUUGCUAUUUUAAUCCUCACUUAUCCAUGCAACUACCUCAAGAAUACUUCAGCCCUAAAAAGCUAGAAUUGAGGAAAUCUCAUUCUUCUUUACCAGCUCCUUUGCAUUUAGUUAGCAUUUAGUAAUGAUUAAUAAAGUGGUCAGCUGGAUAACACAGAGGUUCAGUAGGAAAUUCCGUCUUGAAGAAGUCAGUUAAGCUGGAUCUACUUAAGGACAAACAUCUAGACAUUUGGAAGUACCUGAAUAUUUGACUGUUGUAAAUUUCCACAUAAAAGUCUGGCAUUGUCCGACGUAGACCUCCUUGUGGCUCAGGUCGUCCUGUUUUCAAAAUGAUUAUUGGCCACAUCUCACACAGUUCUCAUUAAGUGAGUUCAUAAAUAAACAGGGUUUUUUUUUUUUUUAAAGAGUAGCCAAGCACAAAAUGUGACUUUGUUGACAUUUUAUGAGAUUUUGUCAUAUGUCCCUUGAAUCCCCAAUAAAAACAAUGUUGUAUCAACUGUGAACCUGUGUUGAUUUCUUGGAAGAGCAUGCUCUCAUAAUUUGUUUGUUUUCCCUAGUGUAUAUCAAAGCUAAUUUCAGGAUCCACGAGGAGCAGUUGAUCUGAUGUGAUGGGAAAAACUUAAAUUUAGAGACCAUUUCUACAAUCCUAUAUUGGCCCUUCAAUAAACAGCACUAUCAUCUACCCAGGUCAGAAAGCAAGGUGUGGUGGUUGUCUUUUCUCCUUCCACCUGUCAUGGCCAAUCAGUCAGGACAAACGAUUAGAUUUUUCUCUUCUGUUUGCAAAUACAUCUGCUUCUCUUCAUCUUGUGUGCCGCUGUUAAGACAGCCCUCAUUUCUCACGUGGACUACUGAGUCAUGCCUCUAAUUUUUCCCUCCACACUGCCAACCAGCAGCCAGGGAAAUCUCUCUAAACCACAGACAUGAUCAUAUCAUUCCACAGCUUCAAACUUUUCACCAGCUUUCCAUUGACCUUGGAAUAUUGUGACACCUAAAGCCCUUCAUAUCCUGGAUCUUGGCCCCAACGUUCCCAUCUGGAUUCCUCAGGUGCCUGUCUCCCACUGCUUUUCUAGGUUCUUGCCAUACCUCUUUGCCAUUUCUUAAUGUUCUCUUUACCUUCUGGGCUUUCUCACACACCUAAACCUUCUGCUUAGUACCCUUGCCACUACCCUUCUAGACGUCAUCUCUUGUCCUUCAGUUCUCAGUCUGGAAGUCACUUCCUCUUGGAAAUUUCCACCCCAGUUCAUCACUACCCCUACCUAGGACAGGCUUCUUCACGUAGGAGCUUUCCUAGCAUUCUGUGCUUACUUCAUAUUAGCACUUAUCAUCCAGAUGAAGAUAAUUUAUAUGCCAGUCUCCUCCGUUUGAAUGUGAAAUUCUAGACCUGCCUUCAUGGAUAGGGGAGCCACUCACCAGAAGCGGCCACUGUAAUUUAAAUUCACUAAUAUUGAAGAAGAUUAAAAAUUCGGUUCCUCAGUUGCACUGGCCAUCUCUCAAG